RNAcentral lists this non-coding RNA (62 nucleotides) under Humidesulfovibrio mexicanus. RNAcentral describes it as "Desulfovibrio mexicanus Fluoride sequence". It matches the Rfam family "Fluoride riboswitch aptamer (crcB RNA motif)". Lineage: Bacteria; Pseudomonadati; Thermodesulfobacteriota; Desulfovibrionia; Desulfovibrionales; Desulfovibrionaceae. The record is from Rfam by way of RNAcentral.
GAUGGCUCAGGGGAUGGAGUCCCCCGUGAACCGCGACAACCGCUGACGACUCCUGCCGCCGA